Molecule: long non-coding RNA, 1026 nt
Filed under: Monodelphis domestica (gray short-tailed opossum)
Lineage: Eukaryota; Metazoa; Chordata; Mammalia; Didelphimorphia; Didelphidae
Description: lncRNA (ENSMODG00000040546.1)
Source: RNAcentral
CAGGAAAAAACAAUUUAAUAGAUUAGAUUGCAGAUAGAAAUUCCUAACAUUGACAGAAAUACCUUUUUUUUUUCUAGUUUUAAUCUUUUUAUUCUGAUUUGAGAGCAAUAGAAGGGCAGAUUAAUACCUCUCUUUCAAAGUUAAAAGACCUACCAUUUUGGUGCCUAGGAUACUACUUUACUUCAAAUAAACUUCUUUUGAAUGUGUAAGGAUAGUCUUAAUCAUCUUAAACCAGCAAUAAAAAAGUAAAAUAUAAAUUUUUAUUUAGAAUUAAAGCAAAUACUUCAGUAUCACAAACACAAUAUUAAACUUCAAGAAAUAUACUGCUAAUUUGGAGUGAGCAUUUAUUUGCACAAUCACAACAUGCGGACAAAUCCAGAAAAGAUGAUAAAGUCUGAAAUUUUCAACAUCCCACCACUAGAGCAGUUGGUCACAAUAUUUCGUACAAAGCACAACAUUAAAUGCACUGUAAUCGAUGUUGACAAAAUUUCCACAGACUCAUCUUUACAGACAACAAGAAAGCUCUAAAGAUGCAAAACAUUGCAAUCUAGUCUUCUUCCGAAGAGUCUCUCUCAAAUGUGUAGGCCAUGAAGCAAGCAUCUGGUCUCUUGGGGACAAGGGGAUGCCCUGGUCUCACACCCACCUGGGAUCUUCAGGGGUGGGUGAGGGACAUCAGGAGCACCACUGAGGCCCUGGACCCAGGUUACUACAGCAAUUAAAAGAGACCCUGGAACUCUCGCUGCUGCGGCUGCCGCUGCUGUGGAGGCUGAGGACUGGCAUGGCGCGGCUGACGUGGACGGUGGUGCUGGGUUUAUCCCCCUCUUUCUCUCGGGCGAAGCAGUGGCUGUUGAGGAUCCGCUGCAGGGAGGAUUUCACCAUCCGGCCGCUGGGGGUCCGAAACCAGGAAACCUCCGCUGCACCUCUCCGGGCCGCCGCUGCUGCUCGCCGUUCGCCAGAAAUACCUUUUUUUUUUUAAACCAAAAUAAUACUAAUUCUUUAAAGCCUAUAUCUGCCUCUCUACAUCUU